CCCGCGGGCGUCCGCCCGCGGGGCCCUGACACCGGUACCUGAUACGGCCGGUGCAG
Non-coding RNA from Streptomyces thermolilacinus SPC6, 56 nucleotides. Lineage: Bacteria; Bacillati; Actinomycetota; Actinomycetes; Kitasatosporales; Streptomycetaceae. The record is from Rfam.